UGUGAAGUGUUCGGAUUGGCAGCUUAGGGUGGCAACACAUCAGGUCUGCCGAGAAGUUCAUUAAACCCUCCCACCUAGAGGAAGGAGAAGUCGUAACAAGGUUUCCGUAGGUGAACCUGCGGAAGGAUCAUUGA
This 134-nucleotide ribosomal RNA is filed under the name Pectinodesmus pectinatus. RNAcentral describes it as "partial 18S ribosomal RNA". It matches the Rfam family "Eukaryotic small subunit ribosomal RNA", at positions 1700 to 1831 of the family's 1831-position model. Lineage: Eukaryota; Viridiplantae; Chlorophyta; Chlorophyceae; Sphaeropleales; Scenedesmaceae. The record is from RNAcentral.